GACGAACGCUGGCGACGUGCUUAACACAUGCAAGUCGUACGGUAAGGCCCUUUCGUGGGUACACGAGUGGCGAACGGGUGAGUAACACGUGAGUAACCUGCCCACAACUUUGGGAUAACGCUAGGAAACUGGUGCUAAUACUGGAUAUGUGCUCCUGCUGCAUGGUGGGGGUUGGAAAGCUCCGGCGGUUGUGGAUGGACUCGCGGCCUAUCAGCUUGUUGGUGGGGUAGUGGCCUACCAAGGCGGCGACGGGUAGCCGGCCUGAGAGGGUGACCGGCCACAUUGGGACUGAGAUACGGCCCAGACUCCUACGGGAGGCAGCAGUGGGGAAUAUUGCACAAUGGGCGCAAGCCUGAUGCAGCAACGCCGCGUGCGGGAUGACGGCCUUCGGGUUGUAAACCGCUUUCAGCAGGGACGAAGCUUUUUGUGACGGUACCUGCAGAAGAAGCACCGGCUAACUACGUG
Molecule: ribosomal RNA, 465 nt
Filed under: uncultured bacterium
Lineage: Bacteria
Description: partial 16S ribosomal RNA
Rfam family: Bacterial small subunit ribosomal RNA
Source: RNAcentral